Moniliophthora roreri MCA 2997 is the source of this 82-nucleotide transfer RNA. It matches the Rfam family "tRNA". Rfam says of the family: Transfer RNA (tRNA) molecules are approximately 80 nucleotides in length. Their secondary structure includes four short double-helical elements and three loops (D, anti-codon, and T loops). Lineage: Eukaryota; Fungi; Basidiomycota; Agaricomycetes; Agaricales; Marasmiaceae. The record is from Rfam.
GGCCGCCUGGCGAAAUGGCAUCGCGUCUGACUACGAUUCGUAAGUAAUCAGGAGAUUGCAGGUUCGACCCCUGCGGUGGUCA